RNAcentral lists this ribosomal RNA (442 nucleotides) under uncultured bacterium. RNAcentral's name for it is "partial 16S ribosomal RNA". It matches the Rfam family "Bacterial small subunit ribosomal RNA", at positions 338 to 795 of the family's 1533-position model. The record is from RNAcentral.
CCUACGGGGUGCAGCAGUAGGGAAUCUUUCACAAUGGGCGAAAGCCUGAUGGAGCAACGCCGCGUGCAGGAUGAAGGCCUUCGGGUUGUAAACUGCUUUUAUAAGCGAGAAAUAUGAUGGUAACUUAUGAAUAAGGAUCGGCUAACUACGUGCCAGCAGCCGCGGUCAUACGUAGGAUCCGAGCAUUAUCCGGAGUGACUGGGUGUAAAGAGUUGCGUAGGUGGCAUAAUAAGUAGCUAGUGAAAUCUGGUGGCUCAACCAUUCAGACUAUUAGCUAAACUGUUAAGCUCGAGACCGUUAGGGGUAACUGGAAUGUCUAGUGUAGGAGUGAAAUCCGUAGAUAUUAGAAGGAACACCAAUAGCGUAGGCAGGUUGCUGGGACGGUUCUGACACUAAGGCACGAAAGCGUAGGGAGCAAACGGGAUUAGAUACCCGUGUAGUC